This 236-nucleotide long non-coding RNA is filed under the name Gossypium barbadense (sea-island cotton). Its description in RNAcentral is "long non-coding RNA (GBAR_LNC021466)". Lineage: Eukaryota; Viridiplantae; Streptophyta; Magnoliopsida; Malvales; Malvaceae. The record is from RNAcentral.
CACCAAUAUGAUCAAGUAGAUAAUUAAUGGCAAUUCACUAAGCAACCAUGCAAGCAGCAUAAGCACAAAGUAUAAUUACACAAGUACAACUAAAAGCUACUUUGCCUUAGGGUAUUAUUAUUAUUAUUUUUGUUUGAUUGAUCCUAUUUUCUCUAUUGCCCAGUCGUUUUGGUUGGUUGGUUGGUGUUUGAUGUGCAUUUUGGUGGGAUUUAGUGAGUCUGCAAUUUUCAAUAGGU